CUCUGGAAAGGUCCAUUUUCUCCAACACAUCGAUAGAUGAUCACAAUCGUGGUUCUGGGCAGGUGAUGAUGGAUGGAACACAUAUCAAUAUUGAUGUAACCAUUCCUGGAGCUAUACUUUGCUUUGGGUCUUAUGUACUUAAAGACUGAAUCACAAUACUUCAUGUCAGUUCCCGUAAUUCAAUAAUAUGAAGCAGGAUUCAUCCAUCAAAAGAUUGGAUUCAGGGUCAGACACCCAAUGUAGUCUAGUCUUAGGUGGUGUCAAAGGUCUCAAAGAUGAAAUAGGUGAAUCUGAUGAAAUGGGUUGUGAAGCAGUUGUUAAGGCUAUGUGAAUAUUGUGGCUGGUACAUGUAUUUCACUUGUGAAGCAGUUCUUAAGCCACGUUCAUGGAAGAAAUGGAUGCAACGCCUUGGGGUCCCUAAGACAAUGAGUACAUAACUAAUUUGCGUAAUGAGAUUGCAAAUCGAUUGGUGUUAAAUGCUUCAAAUUAGAAGUAUUAUUCAACAUAUUGGGUUUGAACUUGUGUUUCAUGUGAUGUUUUGUUAUGCCAAAACUUGAACAAACAAUUGUUACGCUUGUUUAGAUUGAUAUGAUAUCAUGCAUUGAGUUUGACCAUUAA
Long non-coding RNA from Cynara cardunculus var. scolymus (artichoke), 618 nucleotides. RefSeq lists it as uncharacterized. NCBI's taxonomy places the organism in Eukaryota, Viridiplantae, Streptophyta, Magnoliopsida, Asterales, Asteraceae. The transcript has 4 exons. The record is from RefSeq and is a predicted model, not a curated record.